UACGGAGGGUGCGAGCGUUGUCCGGAAUUAUUGGGCGUAAAGAGCGCGUAGGCGGUCCGAUAAGUCGGCUGUGAAAGUCAGGGGCUCAACCCUUGAAAGCCGGCCGAUACUGUCGGACUAGAGUCCGGAAGAGGCAAGUGGAAUUCCCGGUGUAGCGGUGAAAUGCGCAGAUAUCGGGAGGAACACCAAUGGCGAAGGCAGCUUGCUGGGACGGUACUGACGCUGAGGCGCGAAAGCGUGGGGAGCAAACAGG
This 253-nucleotide ribosomal RNA is filed under the name uncultured bacterium. Its description in RNAcentral is "partial 16S ribosomal RNA". It matches the Rfam family "Bacterial small subunit ribosomal RNA", at positions 524 to 776 of the family's 1533-position model. The record is from RNAcentral.